CCUACGGGGGGCAGCAGUGGGGAAUAUUGGACAAUGGGGGGAACCCUGAUCCAGCCAUGCCGCGUGUGUGAAGAAGGCCCUCGGGUUGUAAAGCACUUUCAGUGAGGAAGAACGCCUGGUGGUUAAUACCCAUCAGGAAAGACAUCACUCACAGAAGAAGCACCGGCUAACUCCGUGCCAGCAGCCGCGGUAAUACGGAGGGUGCGAGCGUUAAUCGGAAUUACUGGGCGUAAAGCGCGCGUAGGUGGUUUGAUAAGCCGGUUGUGAAAGCCCCGGGCUCAACCUGGGAACGGCAUCCGGAACUGUCAAGCUAGAGUGCAGGAGAGGAAGGUAGAAUUCCCGGUGUAGCGGUGAAAUGCGUAGAGAUCGGGAGGAAUACCAGUGGCGAAGGCGGCCUUCUGGACUGACACUGACACUGAGGUGCGAAAGCGUGGGUAGCAAACAGGAUUAGAUACCCUAGUAGUC
RNAcentral lists this ribosomal RNA (465 nucleotides) under Vreelandella stevensii. RNAcentral describes it as "partial 16S ribosomal RNA". It matches the Rfam family "Bacterial small subunit ribosomal RNA", at positions 338 to 795 of the family's 1533-position model. The record is from RNAcentral. Lineage: Bacteria; Pseudomonadati; Pseudomonadota; Gammaproteobacteria; Oceanospirillales; Halomonadaceae.